This 96-nucleotide ribosomal RNA is filed under the name uncultured bacterium. RNAcentral's name for it is "partial 16S ribosomal RNA". It matches the Rfam family "Bacterial small subunit ribosomal RNA", at positions 395 to 508 of the family's 1533-position model. The record is from RNAcentral.
CGCCGCGUGGAGGAUGAAGCUUCUUGGAGCGUAAACUCCUUUCGAUCGGGAAGAUAAUGACGGUACCGAGAGAAGAAGCCCCGGCUAACUUCGUGC